CACAACUGACCCUUGGUCGUACUCAGUCCAGAAAUCAUAUAAGCCCCUCGGGCAUUAGUAAAAUAGUAGGUCUCAGCCCAAAAUAUCAUUUAAUAUAUCAUUUUAGUUUCAAAACCGAGUAAAAGUGACUUUAGUUGUAAAUUAGUGGAAAACGGUAUGAAUGAGUUCAAGUAGUAAGUCAAAACAGUGAGGAAAUAGUGACCAAACUCCCCGGAGGGUUCAAACAGUUGGCACGAAGCCCAAAUAUGGCAAUCAGUCCAAAUAAAGAUGAUAACAAAUAAGCUUUAAUCAAAUACGCAGUAAAAACAUCACCCGAGACGGACCAAGUCACAAUCCCCAACUGUAAACGACCCCAAGCUCAUCAUCAAGCACGUGUCUCACCACAAUAUAGCACUACGAUGUGCAAAUCCGGGGUUUCAAACCCUCAGGACAUCAUUUACAUUCAUUACUCACCUCGAACCAGCUACAACUCUAGCUCGCGACGCCUUUGCCCCUCAAAUCGGCCUCCACGCGCGUCGAAUCUAUCCAAAAUCAGAACAAAUACAUCACAAUAUGCUAUGGGAGCAAAACCCAAGCGAAAAUAAUCGAAAAAUAUCAAAAAUCCCGAAAUUAGCAAAACCCGAUCCCCAGGCCCACAUCUCGAAACUCAGAAAUUUUCACAUCAACGGGUUCCUUAUCCUUCCACGAGUUCAUACAUAUCAAAACUUCUCAAUUCCGACCUCAAAUGGCCCUUCAAAUCCCAAUUCAAAAAGUUCAAAAUCCCAAGCCCUAGUUCUUCCAUUUUUAGCUUAGGUUCCAUGAAUUUCUAGGUUAAUUUCACAAUAGAAUCACGUUUUAGGUUCAUAAAUCUUACCUCCAAUCAAUUCUCCUUGAAUCCCUCUUCAGUUUCCCUCAAAGAGCUCUCAAAGUACUCAGCUAUGGCGGGAAAAUGGCUCAAAAUCGCGGAUGAAAUAUUUUAUAAAUUCACUGCCCAGUUCUGAUAUUCCUUCUUCGCGAUCGCGGCCCAAGCCUCGUGAUUGCGAAGCACAAAUUUUAACUUCCCAAAAAUAACCCUUCGCGAACGCGACUCAAUUCACGCGAACGCGAAGCUUCAGGCAUCACACUUAAGCGAAAGUGUUCCCUCACACGCGAACGCGAAGAACAAACUCCACUGGGCUCCAAAUCCUUAUACGCGAACGCGACCCUCUCACUGCGAACGCAAAGCACAAGCUGCUCACUCUUCGCGAACGCGAGCCCUCAGACACGAACGUGAAGCACAAACUCAGGCCCACCCAAAUUCCCUCUACGCGAUCGCGAAGGCCAAAAAUCCUCUACAACUGCUGCUCAAAUUCUGCAACCUCUCAACAUAGAAAUUGGUCCGAUUGACCGUCCAAAACUCACCCGAGGCCCCUGGGACCUCAACCAAAAGAACCAACACAUCCUAAAACCUCAUUCAAACUUGUUUCAAUCAUCAAAACACCUCAAAUAACACCAAAUCCAUCAAUUCACAUCGAAUUCAAGCCUAAGUUUUCUAAAAACUUUCGAAAUACGCUUUCGAUCAAAAACCCAACCAAACCACAUCCAAAUGACCUGAAAUUUUGCACACACAUCCCAAAUGACAUAACGAAGCUACAUCAACUCUCGAAAUUCCAUUCUGACCCUGGAUCAAAAUCUCACCUAUCUACCGGAAAUCGCGAAAAUACUAACUUCGCCAAGCCUAAUUCUACACCGGACCUCCAAAACCACUUCCGAUCACACUCCUAAGUCACAAAUCACCUCCAAAAUCUAACCGAACUAUCGGAACUCACAUCCCAUCCCUCUAACGCAUAAGUCAACAUCUAGUUGACUUUUCCACCUUAAACCUUCUUAAAAGAGACUAAGUGUCUCAUUUCUUAGCAAAACCACACCAACCGGAAACCAAUCAACUCGGUCACAUAAAGCAUGGAUAACGAAGCAUAAAGAAGAAAAAAUGGGGAAAAUAGAGCGGUAACUCAUGAAACAACUGACCGGGUCGUCACACGCAUCCAGGUUUGCUAAAACAUUCGAUCCUUUUGAUGUCAUGUUUAGCCAUUGGAUUUUAAAUCAAAUUAUAUUUCAAAAAUAUGCUUUUUUCAUUCAAUACUUUUGAUUAAGAUUGACCAAAAUAUUUAUGUGAUUAGAAAGCUGAAUAAAGAAGAGCAACUUUGUCUCCUCUAAUUUUAUAUGUUUCUGAACAAAUAGAUAACCUAUCUCAAAUUAUAGCCAAUAUAAUCUCCCUCUUAUUAGGAAUUUGAGAUAUAGUAAUUCUUGCACAAAUUGUAUAAAAUGGAUGAAUCUUAUAUGUACUAGCUUUUAAUUAAAAGAAAUUAGAGUUAAACAUUUUAAUGUCUUUGAAGAAAAGCUAAUAAAUAGAUUAUAGAAAUUCUAUUCAAAGUUAUCAUGCAGUUGUGGAUUCCUAAGUACUAAAACUUUGUAUAUCACAAACAUGCUCCAAACUAUUAUAUUUCAAAUGUGCAGAUAUUACCAAUGCUGAAAGAUCUAAUAGAAGAAAAUAGCAUAUCAAUGUUAUGAACACCUCUAUUAAAUAUUCUUGCAUUGUAUACAGUUACAUCGCAAUAUCCGAACUUAUUCAAAACAUCUUUAUGUUGGAACUAAUUGGAUCAUUGCUACAAUAAGUUGUGAAUUAUAUCUAUUUAUCUUUUAGUAAGCAUGAAGCAAUUCUACCGUCUAUUUUAGAUUUGAGACUUAUUGGCUCUUCGAGAACAUAUGAUAUUUCAAACUAUUUUGCUUUAGAAGCUUUUGUUAGGUAUCAAUAGUCAAGACCUCAGGGAAUACCUGUUUUCUUCGAAACUGAUUACAUUAUAGAAAUUUCUACACAUUUAGAUACCAAUAUGUGUUCAUUUUUUUAUCAUGUCUAAUAUUUAAAUGUUGCAAUUGAUGCUCAUUUGUGUUGCUGAAGCAUUGACAUUCCCGUAUUGAUUUAAGAUAGUGAUUUAACAAUUUUGUUCUAUUUUAUAUGGGAAAAAACCAACGAAAUUCACACUCUGGGAAGAUUUUAUUGAUCAUGAUGGGAACAUACUACUCGAAUUGCUUAAAAAAGAAUACCCAAUAAUUCUUGCUAGAAAAAUUUGCAAGACCAAAGUCGUCGUCAGGUAAAACACCCCAAAUGCAUGCAAGAUGGAGAAACAAAUUUAAUACAGGUAAAGUAUAUAUGCAAUUAUGUUUUAGUUUUCCAUAUACCAGACGGCCAAAUUAGAACUGAAUGUUCAAAUGCAUGCACGAUUGACUAACAGAUUCAGUACAACAAUCGAAAUCAAUCCUCUAUACCCACAAGCAAAUGCACUGAGAACAUGGUAUUGUAAUCAAUACAUUAUUGGUCGUAUAUGUGCUUGAACAUAUACAAGAACUAAUUUUGAAAUGUUAACAUACUUGAAGGGCCCAACAAAAUGAACAAAUGCUUAUCGCGUACACGAUGAAGAGCACAAGUCCAACAUGCUCUCUUUUAUUUGUUCCUUUAGAAGAAGGUGCCAAUUGCAGAAAUCCGACAGCAAAAUCCAGUAAGUACACUAAAUAUUCAUAUAUGCACUAUUGAAAUUUUUUAACUUUAUUCUCUAAUAACAAAAAAUUAAUAUGCGGCAUCCUUGUGUUUUCCAGGGUCAAAUAUUCUACAUACAUGCUGAGUCACACUACAAAAUGAGAACCAACGAUUUUGUAUCCUUGCUUGUUCAGACUGCAAACAACACUUCACAUGAGCUAUCUCGCGGAGAAAGUUCUAUUGCACUAAUUGCCGUCGAGCUACCCAGUUGGUUGCCAGGUAUACAUACAACUUCCACAUAACUGUUUAUAUUUAACAUUCUAUAUUCACCAUCUUUUUAAAUAACCAAUCAUUUUAUCUUAUAACUAGGUGCCAAUUUGAAGUGACGCUCACAGAUCAGAGUGGUUCUACAACAACAACUAUUACCGACGAGCAUGCAGAAAAAAAUAUUGCUUCUCACUUUGGAAGAGAUUUAUGAUAUCUGCAAUGUCAAUGUACAUUGUUAAUUUCGAAAAACCACAAAUAACUAUUUUCUAUAGGUUGAGCCCCAUCUCACACAUAAAUAACUAAUUUCAUUUUUACAGAAAGGACUGUUGCCUCUUGUGAAUGCACAAAAGCUACUGACUGGCUAAAUCUUCAAGAUUCAAAUAAAAAAGUUGUUUACAAGAAACAAUGAGGCAAGAAAGUUAGUUAUUUUGUCUUUCAUGGUCAAAAGUAAUUCGGUUGUCUCACAAAUGCCAGCCACCAUCAAGGAUGUUGCGGAAGGAAGUAAACGAAAAAGUGAACACGUUGCCUCAGAGAGGCAAUAGCACCCACAUAUAACUACCAAAGGCAACGGUUCCUACAACAAAUAUAAGGCGGAAAUGAAACUUUCCCCUCCGAAAAAUUGUUGAGAGGUAUUUGAAAUUUCUGUUCCUUAUAAAUUUAAUAUGAGAUUAAACUUUGUAGAAAAAACAAACAACUUAAACGACUAUCGUUUGUUAGCAUUUUUUCCAGUGAAAUAUCUUUUGCUACUAUUUUGGGAUGCAAGUAAAGCCACAACUUGCUGUUACUUUUGAAUGCGGCUAAGCUCACUUUUGCUACUGCUUUUUGGAUGUUCCUCUACUCGGAAUAUGUUGCGGCGAUUUUCACGACCCGGAUUUUCACACUUGGGAGUCGUGAUGGCGCCUACUAAUGAGAGCUAGGCAAGCCAACCCUUAACUACCUUUUUCAUUAACAAUUUUUUUUUCAAUUACUAGCGAUAACAUGAAAACAAUGGAAUUAAAUAAAUAAGCAAAAGUCAACAAUUUUUAUAACUCAAAACUACGUCUCUUACAACUUUCAAAACCUCAAUACUCAAAACCUGGUGACACAGUGUCAUAGACUGUCUAAGAGUCACUACAAACAAGGCCUGAAGAAAAUACAAUAAACUAUUUCUGAACGAAAGAAAAUGAAACAGGAAAUAGAGAUAGAGGGAGACGCCAGGGCCCGCGAACGCCUGCAAGUCUACCUUGGGUCUCCGGGUGGACUGAAGGAAGCCCUCCAACUACUGUCCAUAAGCUGCCCCAGGAUCUGCACACAGUGCAGAGUGUAAUAUCAGCACAACCGACCCCAUGUGCUGGUAAGUAUCUAGCCUAACCUCAGCGAAGUAGUGAUGAGGAUAGGACCAGACUACCAAAUAAACUAGUACAAUUUAAAUAUAUACAGCGGAAAGGAAAAUGCAGAAAUAACCAAUAAAUGUGGGAAGGGGAAACAUGCUGUAGGGGAAAUAACGGUUCCCAAUAGAAAGCUUCAGGUAAGGAAAGUAACAACAUAAGUAGAAUAUCAUGAAGAAUCAGAAAUCAACAAUUUGCACGCCAUCACCCUUCGUGCUUUUACUCUCGUUCUCACCAAAUCAAUCAUAUAAUAACAACGUGCACGACAUUACCCUUCGUGCUUUUACUCUCGUCCUCACCAAAAAAUAUUUUAUAAUAAAAGUGUACACGGCAUCACCCUUUGUGCUUUUACUCUCUUUCCUCACCAUAUAGUUAAUGAUAAUCUGUACAAAAUGGCACAUCGUACAGCACGACAUCACCCUUCGUGCUUUACACUCUUUCCUCACCAUAGCAAACUAUGCAGGCAUCACCCUUCGUGCUUUAAUGCUCUUCCUCACCCAAACAACAACCACAAACAAAGGGGCAAGGGAGUAAACAAAUAAUAAUAGAAAUCCCAGAAAGGGAACACAAUUAAACAGUUAAAUCCCGACAAGGGAACAAUAUCAAUAAUCUCAGCAUCCCGGCAGGAGAGAUAAUAAACAAAGCAACAAACAUCCUGGCAAGGGAACAAUUUAAUAACUCUUUCUCUUUCUUUCACUUUUACUUCAUAACUCACUUUACCAUUUGAGCCAAUGCUCCAAAGGGUUCAAUCAUCUCAUAUACUUUCACACUUUGUAAUAUAACUCAAGCCAAUGCUCCUCGAAGUUCAAAGGUCAUAAUUUCUUUCACAAGCUUUUCACAACAUAAAGAAAUCAUCACUAAUUACAUGUUUUAGGACUAGAAAUUCAAUAGAUGUUGAUGAAAAUGAAAGGAAAUAAGUUAAAGAUUACUAACCCAAUAGUUUAUGGUGAAAGGAUGCUUCAAAAGUCGCCCUAGAACUUUGGAGAAGAAAGUAUUUGUGAAAUUUUGGUGAAAUCCCGUAAUGGGUUAUGUUUUGGGACUUUAAAAUAACUGGGCAAAAUCCUUCUUCACGUUUGUGAUUAGCUCAACGCAUUUGCAAUAAGUCAGGUCUGAAGACCUUCGCGUUCGCGACACUAGGCUCGCGUUCGCAAUGCUUUAGCACCUCGAGCCCUCGCAUUCGCGGGCUAGUGGCCACGUUCGCGUAGAACAAACUGGUGGCCCCUCCCCUGAACCCUACAUGUUCGCGAGUGGAAGGACGCGUUCGCGAAGGGUCUCCCCCCUGAGCUUCGCGUUCGCGUCUCAACCUCCGCAUUCGCGAAGAAGAAACUGGGCACCUGGGAUCUUUGCCUUACGCGUUCGCGAGUGAGACCACGCAAACACGAAGAACAAAAUCCCUGGGCAUAAUAGCAGAAAAUCUACAACACUUCUAAAGCCAAAAACCAUUCCGAAACACCUCCGAAACACCUCCGAAACACUUCCGAGCCAUCAGGGUUCCUAACCAAGCACAGGCUCUAACUCAACAACAUCAUACGAACUUAUCCGUGCGAUCAAAUCGCAUAAAUAACCUCAAAAUCAAUGAAUCAAACCUCAAAAUCAAGAAUUCCUCAAACUUCAUCAAGUUUCUAAUUUAGAAAUUUAAGUCCGAAACACGUCAAACGACGUCCGAUUUCAUCAAAAUUUUAUAGGAACAACUUAAAACAUAUAUAAGACAUGUACCGGAUGCCGGAACCAAAAUACGGGCCCGAUGCCAUCGCUUUCUAAUCAGAUUUCAUUUCCAAUUUCCUUAGACAUUUUCAUAAAAUAAUUUUACAUAAAAAUUCAUUUCUCGGGCUUAGGACCGCGGAAUUCGAUUCCGGACAUAUGCUCACGUCCCAUAUUUUCCUACGGACUCUCCGGGACUGUCAAAUCACGAGUGCGGGUCCGUUCGCCCAAAAUGUUGACCAAAGUCAAACUUAUUCAUUUUAAUAUCAAAACUUAGCAUUUUCCACAAAAUUUCAUAUUGAAGCUUUCCGGCUACGCGCCCGGACUGCACAUGCAAAUCGAGGCAACUCUAAAUGAGGUUUCAAGGCCUCGGAAGCACAGAAUGGAUAAGAACACAGGUGAUGACCCCUUUGGGAGGGGUCAUCACAUUCUCCACCUCUAAAACAACCGUUCGUCCUCGAACGGACAAAAGAAGGAAGUACCUGAGUCGGGAAUAGAUUAGGAUAACGGCUCCGAAUAUCGGACUCGGACUUCCAGGUCGAUGCCUCAGGAGGUUGGCCUCUCCACUAAACACGAACAGAAGGGAAACUCUUGGAUAUCAACUGACGAACCUACCGGUCUAGAAUAGCUACCGGCUCCUCCUCAUAGGGCAAGUCCUUGUCCAACUGGACAGUGCUGAAAUCUAACACGUGGGAUGGAUCGCCGUGAUACUUCCAAAGCAUGGACACAUGGAACACUGGAUGCACGACUAAUAAGCUCGGCGGUAAUGCAAGUCUAUAAGCCACCUCUCCCACUCGAUCAAGAAUAUCAAACGGACCAAUGAACCUAGGGCUAAGCUUGCCUUUCUUCCCAAAUCUCAUCACGCCCUUCAUAGGCAACACUCGGAGUAAUACCUGCUCACCAACCAUAAAAUUCACAUCUCGAACCUUACGAUUUGCAUAGCUCUUUUGUCUGGACUGAGCUGUACGAAGCCUAUCCUGAAUGAUCCUGACCUUGUGCAAGGCCUCCUGAAUCAGAUCCAUACCCAACAACCGAUCCUCUCCCGGCUCAAACCAUCCAACCAGAGAUCGACACUGCCUACCAUAUAAAGCUUCAUAAGGAGCCAUGUGGAUACUCGACUGGUAGCUGUUGUUGUAGGCAAACUCUGCUAAAGGCAAGAACUGAUCCCACGAUCCUCCAAAGUCAAUAACACAAGCUCAGAGCAUAUCCUCCAAUAUCUAAAUAGUCCGCUCGGACUGCCCAUUCGUCUAAGGAUGAAAUGCUAUACUUAACUCAACCUAGGUGCCCAACUCUCGCUGAACUGCUCUCCAGAAACGCAAAGUAAACUGCGUACCUCGGUCCGAAAUCAUAGAUACCGGCACACCAUGAAGGCGAACAAUCUCCCGGAUAUAGAUCUCAGCUAACCUCUCGGAUGAAUAAGAGACUGCCAUAAGAAUGAAAUGCGCUGACUUGGUCAGCCUAUCAACAAUGACCCAAACUGCGUCAAACUUCUUCCGAGUCAGCGAAAGUCUAGUAACGAAGUCCUUAGUGAUCCACUCCCACUUCCGCUCGGAAGCUCAAUCCUCUAAAACAAUCCACCAGGCCUCUGAUGCUCUUACUUAACCUGCUGACAAUUUAAACACCAAGCCACAUGUGCAACAAUAUCCUUCUUCAUUCUACGCCACCAAUAAUAUUGCUGCAAAUCUUGAUACAUCUUCGCGUCGCCCGGAUGAAUAGAGUACCGGGAACUAUGGGCCUCAUCUAAAAUUAACUCCCGAAGCCCAUCCACAUUAGGCACACAAACUCGACCCUGCAAUCUCAAAACUCCAUCAGCAUCUAAGGUAACCUGCUUGGCACCUCCACGCUGCAUUGUGUCUCUAAGGACACACAAAUGGGGAUCAUCAAACUGCCAAUCACAGAUACGCUCCAAUAACAAAGAACAAACGACCGUGCAAGCUAACACUCGACUAGGCUCUAAAGUAUCCAACCUCACAAAUCGAUUGGCCAAAUCCUGAACAUCCAAAGCAAGCGGCCUCUCACCGAAUGGAAUAUAAACAAGACGGACCAUACUGGCUGACAUCCUACUCAAAGCAUCGGCCACGACAUUGGCCUUUCCCGAGUGAUAUAAGAUAGUGAUAUCAUAAUCCUUCAACAAUCAAAUCACCUCCUCUUCCUCAAAUUCAACUCCUUUUGCUUGAACAAAUACUGAAGACUCUUGUGAUCAGUGAACACCUCACAUGCCACGCCAUACAGAUAAUGCCUCCAAAUCUUCAAUGCGUGAACAAUGGCUGCCAACUCUAAAUCAUGCACCAGAUAGUUCUUCUCAUGAAUCUACAACUGCCGCAAAGCAUAUGCAAUGACCUUGCCAUCCUGCAUCAACACUGCACCAAGACCAAUGCGAGAUGCAUCACAAUAAACGGUAUAAGGCCAUGAACCCGUGGGUAAAACUAACACCGGUGUCGUAGCCAGAGCUGUCUUGAGCCUAUAAAAGCUUGCCUCACACUCGUACGGCCAUCUGAACUGGGCACCCUUCUGGGUCAACCUGGUCAUCGGGGCUGCGAUAGAUGAGAACCCCUCCAUGAACCGACGAUAGUAUCCUGCCAAUCCCAAGAAACUCCGAAUCUCUGUAGCUGAUGCUGGUCUAGGCCAGUUCUUGACUGCCUCAAUCUUCUUUGGGUCAACCUGAAUACCCUCUGCUAAUACGACAUGACCCAAGAAUGCAACUGAACUCAACCAGAACUCACACUUCGAAAACUUUGCAUAUAGCUGACUAUCCUUCAGAGUCUGAAGAACCACUCUGAUAUGUUGCUCGUGCUCUUCCUAGCUACGGGAAUAUAUCAGAAUAUCAUCAAUGAUGACUAUCACGAAUGAGUCCAAAUAAGGCUUGAACACUCGGUUCAUCAAAUCCAUAAAAGCUGUUGGGGCAUUUGUCAACCCGAAUGACAUAACCAAAAACUCAUAAUGCCCAUACCGAGUGCGAAAUGCUGUCUUAGGGACAUCAAAUGCCCUAAUCUUCAACUGAUCGUAGCCAGAUCUCAAGUCAAUCUUUGAAAAUACCUUGGCACCCUGAAGUUGAUCGAACAAAUCAUCAAUCCUCGGUAGUAGAUACUUAUUCUUGAUUGUAACCUUGUUCAACUGCCGGUAAUCAAUGCAUAUUCUCAUCGAACCAUCUUUUUUCUUAACGAACAACAUUGACACUCCCCAAGGUGAAACACUGGAUCUAAUGAAACCCUUCUCAAGCAAGUCCUGCAACUGCUCCUUCAACUCUUUCAACCAGGCGGGACCAUACGGUAUGGCGGGAUAGAAAUGGGUUGGGUGCCCGUGGCCAAAUCAAUGAAAAAGUUAAUAUCCCUGUCGGGUGGCAUACCCGGUCGGUCUGAAGGGAAAACAUCAGAAAACUCAUGAACAACGAGCACGGAAUCAAUAAAAGGGAUCUCAACACUAGAAUCAUGAACAUAUGCCAAAUAGGCCAAACAUCCCUUCACGACCAUACGCCGAGCCUUCACAUACAAAAUAACACUGCGGGUAGAAUGACCAGGAGUCCCUCUCCACUUUAAACGGGGAAAAUCCAGUAAGGCUAAGGUCACAGUCUUGGCAUGACAGUCCAAGAUAGCGUGGUAAGGUGAUAACCAAUCCAUCCCCAAUAUAACAUCAAAAUCGACCAUGUCUAGAAGCAACAAAUCCACGUGAGUCUCAAUAACCCCAAUCACCACAAUACAAAAACGAUGGACUCGAUUGACCACAAUAGAAUCACCCACCAGUGUAGACACAUAAACAUGAAUACUCAAUGAAUCACUAGGCAUGACCAGGUACGGUGCAAAAUAAGAUGACACAUACGAAUACGUAGACCCUGGAUCAAAUAGCACUGAAACAUCUCUAUCACAAACCAGAAUGGUACCUGUAAUGACUGCAUCUGAAGCCUCAGCCUCAAGCCUAGCUAGAAGGGCAUAACAUCGGGGCUGGGGCCCACCACCCUAAACUACCUCUCUGGGACGGCAUGCUGCUGGCUGGCCUCCACCUCCAGGACCUCUACCUCCACCUCUAGCACCUCUACCCCCACCUCUAAUUGGCUGGACGGGCUGUGGAACACCUGGUGCCUGUACCAUAGCACGAGAACCCUGAUGCUGAGAGCUACCCGGUGCUCGAGGGAAAAACCUGGUAAUGUGACCCGGAUCACCACAAGUGUAACAAGCCCUCGGCUACUGAGACUAUUGGCCUUGUCGACCUGAAUGACCACCUCAAAAACUCUGAAGUGGCGGUGCGCUGAUAGGAGCUGGUGGUGCACUGUAAGGAUGCUGAUCAGAAUAAUGUGUCUGAGAACCACGACCACCUGAAGUACCAUGUGAGACCUAGAAAGCUGACUGAAAGGGCCUAGGAGGAUGGCCUCUACCAUAUGAAUCUCUACCUCUAGACGAGGUAUCAUUGAAUUUGCCUGAAUAACGGGGCCUCUUAUCCGACCCAUGACCACCUCCCUAUGACAGAACCAUCUCAACUCUGCGGGCCACAUUGACCGCCUCCUGAAAGGUGAUCUAUCUCCCGGCCUCCUUGGCCAUCUGAAAACGAAUCGACUGAAUAAGACCAUUAAUAAACAUCCUCACCCUUGCUCUCUCGGUGUGAAGUAUGAAAAGAGCAUGGCGAGCUAGAUCGAUGAACCUGGUGUUAUACUGGGUGACCAACAUGGAACCCUACUGGAGCGAUCAAACUGCCUCCGAUAGGCCUCUCUCUGAAUAACGGGGAGAAACAUCUCCAGAAACAAUACUGUAAACUGCUCCCAUGUCAAAGAUGGCGACCCGGCUGGCCUGGCUAAGCAAUAGUCCCUCCACCAAGUCUUGGAGGAUCCCGACAGACGAAAGGCAGCAAAAUCAACUCCAUUGGUCUCAACGAUCCCCAUGUUCCGAAGAACCUCGUGACAACUAUCCAAAUAAUCCUAGGGAUACUCAGUAGAUGUACAGCUGAAUGUAGAAGUGAAUAGCUUGGUGAACCUAUCCAUCCUCCACAAAGCAUCAGCGGACAUAGCCACUCCAUCAUUGGUUUGAGCUACUACACCCGGCUGAACUGCUCCAGCAGGCUGAACCGUUGGAAUCUAAAUCUGAGGAGCCACCUGCUCCGGAGUGCGAGUAGCAAGAGUCUGAGCCCCUCCUCUAGCCUGAGAAGUGGCUGGUGCUACAAGAAGCAAACCUGCUCGGGUGACACUCUCUAUUAGGCCCAACAAUCGGACCAGAGCGUCCUGAAGAACUGGGGUGGCAAUGAACUCCUCUGGGACCUGAGCUGGGCCCACGAAACUGCUGGGCCGGAACCUCCUCCUCAAAAUCAACCUGAGGCUCUGCCACUGGUGUUGUUGCUCGGGGCUGAGCUCUGCCCCUACCUCGACCUUGGCCUCGCCCUCUGCCCCUAGUGAAAGUUGAUGUUGGGGGCUCGGGCUACUGAGCGGUAGAUGAGGAAGCGCGUGUUCUUGCCAUCUUCAAAAGAAUAGAGUAUAAAUCCAAUUAGAAUUGAGAAACAUAUCUACAUGACAAGAAAGAACAAAUGUGAAAUUUUUCCUAACUCUGUAGCCUCUGGGGGAUAAAUAUGGACGUCUCUGUACCGAUCCCUUAGACUCUACUAAGCUUGUCUGUGAACUGUGAGACCUAUGUAACCUAGAGCUCUUAUACCAACUUGUCACGACCUGGAUUUUCCCCACUCGGGAGUCGUAAUGGCGCCUACUAAUGAGAGCUAGGCAAGUCAACCCUUAACUACCUUUUUCAUUAACAAUUUUUUUUCCAAUUACCAGCGAUAACAUGAAAACAACAUAAUUAAAUAAAUAAGCGAAAGUCAACAAUUUUUAUAACUCAAGACUACGUCUCUUACAACAUUUAAAACCUCAAUACCCAAAACCUGGUGUCAUAGACUAUUUAAGAGUCACUACAAACAGGGCCUGAAGAAAAUACAAUAAACUAUUUCUGAACGAAAUAAAAUGAAAUAGGGAAUAGAGAUAGAGGGAGACGCCAGGGCCCGCGAACGCCUGCAGGUCCACCUUGGGUCUCCGGGUGGACUGAAGGAAGCCCUCCAACUAUUGUCCGUAAGUUGCUCCGGGAUCUGCACACAGUACAGAGUGUAGUAUCAGCACAACCAACCCCAUGUGUUGGUAAGUGUCUAGCCUAACCUCGGCGAAGUAGUGAUGAGGCAAGGACCAGACUACCAAAUAAACCUGUGCAAUUUAAUAUACAACAGAAAGGAAAAAGCAGAAAUAACUAGUAAAUGUGGGAAGGGGAAACAUGAUGUGGGGGAAAUAACUGUUCCGAAUAGAAAGCAUCAGGUAUGGAAAUUAACAACAUAACUAGAAUAUCAUCAAGAAUCAGAAAUCAACAAUUUGCACGACAUCAUCCUUCGUGCUUUUACUCUCGUUCUCACCAAAUCAAUCAUAUAAUAACAACGUGCACGACAUCACCCUUCGUGCUUUUACUCUCAUCCUCACCAAACAAUAUUUUAUAACAAAAGUGUACACGUCAUCACCCUUCGUGCUUAUACUCUCUUUCGUCACCAUAUAGUCAAUGAUAAUCUGUACGGAAUGGCACAUCGUACGACACGACAUCACCCUUCGUGCUUUACACUAUUUCCUCACCAUAGCAAACAAUGCACGACAUCACCCUUCGUGCUUUAACACUCUUCCUCACCCAAACAACAAUCACAAACAAAGGGGCAAGGGAGUUAACAAAUAACAAUAAAAAUCCUAGAAAAGGAACACAAUUAAAUAGUUAAAUCCCGGCAUGGGAACAAUAUCAAUAAUCUUAGCAUCCCGGCAAGGGAGAUAAUCAACAAAGAAACAAACAUUCGGGCAAGGGAACAAUUUAAUAACUCUUUCUCUUUCACUUUUACUUCAUAACUCACUUUACCAUUUGAGCCAAUGCUCCAAAGGGUUCAAUCAUCUCAUAUACUUUCACACUUUGUAAUAUAACUCGAGUCAAUGCUCCUCGAAGAUCAAAAGUCAUAAUUUCUUUCACAAGCUUUUCACAACAUAAAGAAAUCAUCACUAAGGCAUGAAAGACACAACAAUAAUAACAACAACAACAACAACGACCCAGUAUAAUCCCACAAGUGGCGUUUGGGGAGGGUAAUAUAUACGCAGACCUUACCCCUACCUCGAAGGGUAGAGAUGCUGUUUACAGGAGACCCUCGGCUCAAAAAAAGCAACAGGAGCCGAUAUAUUAGUACCAUAAAAAUGCAUAAUAAAAUAACAGCAAUAUAAGAGAUAUGAAAUACAGAAUACGAAAUAUGAAAUACAUAAAGACUCACGGUCAUAAAGACUCACGGUCAUGCUAGACAUAAACGUAUAGAUACUCGUCACCAUGCCUAUACGUCGUACUCAACAAUUAUCACAUAGCAAAUAGGACUCAACUCCUAAUCCCGCAAGAUAAGGUUAGACCAAACACUUACCUCAAACUUCCACGGCUAAUUCAAUUCUCAAUUACCGCUUUUCCUCUUGAAUUCAUCUCCAAAUCGAUUGUAUCUAUACACAAAUGACUUCAUAACAUCAAUAAAUGCUAAACAAUUCGAAUCCAAUACCUAAUUAUAGCUUCCCAAGUAUUCUUCCCAAAAUUCCAAAAAUCGACCCCGGGCCCGCUUGGUCAAAACACUAGGUUCGAACAAAAAUCCGAUAACCCAUUCAUCCAUGAUCCCGAAUAAUUAUUUCCAGAAUUUAAUCCCAAAACGAGGUCUAAAUCACAAUUUAUUAAAACUCCCUAACUCUACCCAAUUCCCUAAUUUCUACCUCUAAUUACAUAUUUUAGGCCUAGAAAUUCAAUAGAUGUUGAUGAAAAUGGAAGGAAAUAAGUUAAAGAUUACUAACCCAAGAGUUUAUGAUGAAAGGAUGCUUCAAAAGUCGUCCUAGNNNNNNNNNNNNNNNNNNNNNNNNNNNNNNNNNNNNNNNNNNNNNNNNNNNNNNNNNNNNNNNNNNNNNNNNNNNNNNNNNNNNNNNNNNNNNNNNNNNNNNNNNNNNNNNNNNNNNNNNNNNNNNNNNNNNNNNNNNNNNNNNNNNNNNNNNNNNNNNNNNNNNNNNNNNNNNNNNNNNNNNNNNNNNNNNNNNNNNNNNNNNNNNNNNNNNNNNNNNNNNNNNNNNNNNNNNNNNNNNNNNNNNNNNNNNNNNNNNNNNNNNNNNNNNNNNNNNNNNNNNNNNNNNNNNNNNNNNNNNNNNNNNNNNNNNNNNNNNNNNNNNNNNNNNNNNNNNNNNNNNNNNNNNNNNNNNNNNNNNNNNNNNNNNNNNNNNNNNNNNNNNNNNNNNNNNNNNNNNNNNNNNNNNNNNNNNNNNNNNNNNNNNNNNNNNNNNNNNNNNNNNNNNNNNNNNNNNNNNNNNNNNNNNNNNNNNNNNNNNNNNNNNNNNNNNNNNNNNNNNNNNNNNNNNNNNNNNNNNNNNNNNNNNNNNNNNNNNNNNNNNNNNNNNNNNNNNNNNNNNNNNNNNNNNNNNNNNNNNNNNNNNNNNNNNNNNNNNNNNNNNNNNNNNNNNNNNCGUGAUGAGUCAGGUCUGAAGACCUUCACAUUCGCAACACUAAGCUCGCGUUCGCGAUGCUUUAGCACCUCAAACCCUCGCGUUCGCAUGCCAGUGGCCGCGUUCGCGUAGAACAAACUAGUGGCCCCUCCCCUGAACCCUACGCGUUUGCGCGUGGAAGGACGCAUUCGCGAAGGGUCUCCCCCCUGAGCUUUGCAUUCGCGUCUCAACCUCCGCGUUCGCGAAGAAGAAACUGGGCACCUGGGAUCUUUGCCUUACGCGUUCGCGAGUGAGACCACGCGAACGCGAAGAACAAAAUCCCUGGUUACAACAACAGAAAAUCUGCAACACUUCUAAAGCCAAAAACCAUUCCGAAACACCUCCGAAACACUCCCGAGCCCUCAGGGCUCCUAACCAAACACAAGCACUAACUCAACAACAUCAUACGAACUUUUCCGUUUGAUCAAAUCGCAUAAAUAACCUCAAAAUCAAUGAAUCAAACCUCAAAAUCAAGAUUUUUUCCUCAAACUUCAUCAAGUUUCCAAUUUAGAAAUUUAAGUUCGAAACACGUCAAACGACGUCCGAUUUCAUCCAAAUUUUAUAGGAAGAACUUAAAACAUAUAUAAGACCUAUACCGGAUGCCGGAACCAAAAUACGGGCCCGAUACCAUCGCUUUCUAAUCAGAUUUCAUUUCCAAUUUUCUUAAACAUUUUCAGAAAAUAAUUUUACUUAAAAAUUCAUUUAUCGGGCUUGGGACCUCGGAAUUCGAUUUCGGAUAUAUGCCCACGUCCCAUAUUUUCCUACGGAUCCUCCGGGGCCGUCAAAUCAUGGGUCCGGGUUCGUUUGCCCAAAAUAUUGACCAAAGUCAAACUUAUUUAUUUUAACAUCAAAACUUAGCAUUUUCCACAAAAUUUCACAUUUAAUCUUUCCGGCUACGCGUCCGAACUACGCACGCAAAUCGAGAAAACUCUAAAUAAGGUUUUCAAGGCCUUGGAAGCACAAAAUGGAUAAAAAACAGGUGAUGACCCCUUUGGGUCGUCACAAUUAUAGAAUGCAUGGUCCAUUUCAAAUUACUUUGGAAGCCCGCCCCUUUCUAUGCUACUUUAGACCCACUAUGAAAUUAUGAGGUCCUUCUAGUGUGACAACUGCUUAUACAAAUUUAACUAGAAGGCUUAAUAGAAAUUCUAUGAGCUAAGUUUUCGAGCUUUUUCUAAGGAUGGCACAAGUAGAGAUAAGAAUGGAUAAAUGUUAUCAAUCUAAAAAAAAAAAGAUAAGAGCGGAUAAACUAAUAUAGCACUGUACUCUAUGUGCUAUUAUCAUUAACUUCUAAAGUAGUGAGAUUUCCUGUAUUAGAAGUCUUAGGAGCAAUUUCUGUAGUAGAACUUUAAGGAGCAAGCCAACAUUUGAUAUCUUUUAAGGAAAUAUUGAUUUGUCUUACAAGCCAUGACCAAAAAAUCUCAAGAUAAUUCACCUUAAAAUAUGAUCUUUCUGUACGAAACAUAUAUAGUUAGUUAAUUCUACUUUGAUUGGUACCAGUUUCAAAAAAAAUUAAUUCAUCUUUGAAAAUUCUUCACCUUAACAACCUCAAAUAAUUUUGCAAUGCUGUUUAUUUUGUUGUUGAUGAUGCUUUUCAAAUAGUAUUUACUAGCAUCUUGAGUCUUCUUUGGCCUAUUGGUUCCUUUCACAAUCUACCGUGGUCUUUAUGGAAAUUAUUGUAUUUUAAAAUUGACCAUAUAAAUAGUAAGUUUUGACAUGUAUUAUUUUGCACUCUAUGGAAUGUACUUUGCUGGAUACCAUUCUUCGACCAAGAUGAUAACUUGAUGAUGAUUUUCAGUUGUAAGAAAAAAUAAAAUCUUCUCCACCUGGAGGAAGUUGUUGUGCUUUACAGGAUAGCAUCUCUGAGCAACUUACUCCUAUCAACCUUUUUUGAGUGUUUUCCUGUGAAACCUCAUUAAUGGAGCAACUAAGAAGAGAGAUGUAUAACAGAAUGCAAGAAAUUUCUUCGAUCUGGCUCUUGUUAGCUGUAGGUUUACAACAUACUAGGUUAUUUCUAUCUUUCUCUGAAGAUAACAUUCUUUUGUUCUUUUUUCUACUCAUCUUUGACAUUAAGCUCUGAAAAUUGAGGUGUCUCAGCUUGCAAUAUAUUCAUUUUGACAUUUGCUGGUGGUAACGCUUUGAGGAGCAAUAAAUUUUUUUAAAUUAAUCUUACAAACAAAUUACCAAUGCAUUACUAAUAAGAUACAGUUAUCUAUUAUUUUAGUAUCUUUAUAUCUACUGAAUUUUGUAUCAGUUUAAAUGCUUAACAUGACAAUCAUUUAGCAGCUGCGAAUAUGAGAAUGUAAUAUUUUUCACGUUUAUAGUGUUUGUUCAACUCCUGUAGAACAUUCCUGUCUGGUUUGUCGUGUUUGUUCAACUUCUGUUGAAUUAUUUAACUAUAUGUUGCACCAAUAUUAGUCCAUAAUAUUACGAUCACCAAUCUUUAUUAGAAAGAAAUACAACAACAUCACUUAAUCCGUAAAGGCUAAAAUUAAAAAAAAUUAGCAUAAUUAUUCCAGGUUUAAAGUAUUAUACAACAACAAACCCAAUGUGCUCCCACAAAUGGGGUCUAGGGAGGAUAGUAUGCAUGCAUCCUUACCUCUACCUUAUGAAGUUAGAGAGAAUAUUUUCGAUAUACCUUUGGCUCACGAAAAGCAUAUAUUUAAUAUUAUCCGUUAAAAAAAUUUCCAUUAUUUGAAGGGUCUUGAAUGCUCAAGUGACUGGCUUUCUCAUUGGAGGGAAAGACUACAAGAUCUUUGACCAAGAGACUAAAUCUGUUGAAGGGACCUUGAGGCUUGCAUGUUGAAUCAUGCCAAAAGCAUUUUCUAUGACCUGUUGUACCAAACAACCUAAAUAAAAAUAUGUUUGCAUGUAAGUGUCAUACUUAGAAUUACAUGUUUGUUUUUUCUCUUACAUAUCGUCUAGGUUCCCAACAAUCGAACUCUUAAAUGUUCAGAUUGGGUAGGGGAAGAAUGCCUCUCAAUGACUACCAUCCUGUUAUGAGAUUGGAGAAUCAAAUGCCGCUUAUGUAGGGCAAGGUGGUUUAAAUUUAAAGUAGUGAAGUCUUGAGUUGGAAAGAAUCAGAAUUAGAACUCUUUGUCCCAAAAAUAGUAGAUGAAUUAUUAGAAGACUUCAUUAAUGUCGAGCACCAAGUAGUGUUUAUAGUUGUAUUGUUGAAUUAAUUUGAGUGGUCACAUAUUUUUCUUUUAUCCGGUGGAGAGGAUACAUUGCAAAUACGUUCCACCUGAAGACAUUCGGCCUAAAUGUAUGAUUCUAGGAAACAUCCAAUAGUUGUGCCUUCACAUCAGCAUCGCUUUAGUAAGACCCUUUUUUUUGGAUUCAUAUAGGUUAUGUUAAUGUUGUCAUGUAUUAGAAAAUUUAUUCAAAGGUAGCCAAAAGAAAGCACCAAUUACUUUUUUGCAGUUUAUUUCUUGAGUUUAGAAUAUGACCAAGAUUCUUAUUCCUAUCGUGACUUCUUUUGUUGUUCUUGAUAUAAUCAAGUCAAAAGAGUCCUACUAAUCUUUUGAAUUGUGGUAAAUAUAACUUGUAUAAGUUUGUUUCAUCUGUUCAAAUGUGGGUAACUGAGGUAAAAAAUUAAAUUCUCUAAUAUUUAUACUUUGUGGCUUGAAGCUAGUGCUAUUAUGUUAGAAAACUGAAAGUCGUAAAGAAAUGAAAAGUAAGACCUUACUGUGAAGUGGCAACAUAUUCUUUCAAUGUGAAGUGAAUGCAGAAUUAUGGAAUAUAUUCCUGAAAUAUUUAGUUUGAAAUAGACAACGCUAUAAUCAAGAAAGAGUUCAUAGAAAAAGAAGGUAAAAAUGUUAGGUGUUACAAAGCAAAGCAAAGUUAGUCAGUAUGAUUAUAUACAAGUGUCUAACAUUGUUGUCUUUCUGGUACAAGAACGAUUAUAUUAGGGAUGCUAUUAAUAUGCUAGAUUUUAUUAGCAAGCUUCAAAAUUAGAAAUGAAUGUGGUUACUUUUGUUUGUAAUAUCACAAUAUGUACUUAGUGUUGUUAUUUAAUAAAAUUAGUUUUAUUCUUUAAACAUGAUUCUUUUAAUAUAUUGUUUAAUAUCUUUCUUUCUCUUCUCUGUUUCAGUUCGUGCUCUUUUUUUUUUGUUCUUCAGUCCUUCCAGAGCAGUCUUUCUUGGUUACUCAGAGGUACAAUUUUACUUUUUUAAAAUAUUAUCCGAGGAUAUGUCAGGCCUUUCACAAUACUUAAUGCAAAGUGGCAUUAACCCUGUAACUGAGUAGACAUGUAUUGGCCAUUUUCUUGGUCUUUGUUCGUUAUCUUUUCCCGUCUUCCAUAGUAUUUCAUCUUCCUCUGUUCAGAUUUUGCUGAUUUAUGCAUUUCAAUAAAAAAAAUAUUGCAUGCCCAUAGGGCUAUGCUAAUGUUCUUGGUGCUUUGAAUCCAGAACUGUUAGAGCGAACGAGUCUCUUUCAGUUUGUCUCUUCAGUCGGUGGCGACUGGGCUAUUCAAAGCUUAAAGUUAUUAUCUUUCGUUUACCUGUUGUUGCUCGACUUUUCUUGGUUAACAUAUGAUGCUACCCUUAACUAUUGAUGUUAUUGAAGUAGUAUGCUUAAGUUUUGGCUUAUUUAGAAGAUCCAAAUUAUUUCUAUUUUUUUAAUGGUUUCUCUGUUACUAUGGUUUCUUUCAUUAUAGUUCUACUCUAAUUUUUCCCGGUCAUUCAGAUGACUAUUGGAUGAAUUGAGUAGUUUUUUUGGUCCUUCGAUGCAUUUCUUAGGGACUCUGAUGAAAUGUGGGAUGAAUUUUUGUUGAAAGCUAAUACUAUACAAGUUGUGCCAUGAAUUGUUAUUUGAAUGUAAUUUUCACAAAUAAAUCUAAUAUUGGAAUUGAGAUUAUGUACUCUAAUGUCACGACCCCAUACCGGCCCGGUCGUAAUAGCGCCUCUCGUGAAGACAAGGCCAGCCGACACAACACUCACAUUAACCCUUUAAUCAUUAAGAUUCAUCUUUUAAACCUUUAAUUAGAACAAUGUUUCAUAAUAUAUGUCUGAAAGAACAGUGCGAAAUUAAUAUACAAGCCCGACAUCAGGGUGUCACUAGUCAUGAGCAUCUACCAAGUUCUGAAUACAACAAAAAUAGUCAAAAGUGUACUAAGUACAGUAAUGAAAAUAAGAGGAAGAAAGCAGUGUUGCGAACGUCGUGCAACCACCUUGCUAACUUCAUUGACUCCGUGUCUAAGCAAUCAACACGCGCUACCGGGUUCCUAAAUACCUGAAUCUGCACAUGAGGUGCAGGGAGUAAUGUGAGUACUCCAACCCAGUAAGUAAUAAAAGUAAAUAAAGACUGAGUAGUAUGAAACAAUGAAUCAACAUUUAUGAUAAACUCAAUAAGCACAACGGCCUUCCAAAUCAGAAUACGAGUCGAUCAUCUCAUUUAAAAUCCAGCCUUUUGGUAAAAAUCAUUUGAAAAUACUUUCCGACAGUUUCAGUAGGGGUUCAAUGCCAUUUAUAAUAAAAGAUAUGAAAACCAUAAUCGUCCUCUCAGGCAAAACAUAGUUCGUAAAAUAGCCCCUCGGGCAAAACAGUAAUCAUAAACACCUCAAAAUUUGAAAAUUUCAGUGGAAAUAACUGAUGUCAAAUCAGUGAUCAAAUUCUGAACAUCUCAUAAACCCCAGCAUAAAUAAAAGUUAUUUUUAAAAUAUUUGUUCAACACUUCGACAGAGGUUCAAUAUAAAGAUAAGUGAAAACAGUCAACAAAAUCAACGUAUUCGAUAGAAACUCAUUCUUAAGAGGAGUGAAAAAUCAAUAAGUUCAUAAAUAGGCCCUUCAGGCAAGUAUCACUCAUGUUCAUGUAUAUAUCUAUCGCCCCCUCGGGCUAGCCUCUCAGUCAUUCAUGACUCAACUCUUACCAAUCAGCGCUCACACUCAGCACUCAUGCUCAAUAGGUACCAUAUAGUAUUCGUUGUGGCGCGCAACCCGCCUCAUAUAUCUCGUCGACGGCGCUCACUGGGGGUGUGCAGACUCCGGAGGGCCUCUUACAGCCCAAGCGCUAUAUCGAUGCGGCUUGCAGCCCAAUCCAACAUAUCACUACGGCGUGCAGCCCGAUUCAUUUAAGUAUCGCUGCGGCGUGCAACCCGAUCCGUAUACAUAUAUAAAUAUUAAUGCGGCGUGCAACCCGACCCAUAGAUAUUUAAUCCACACAACUAGGCCCUCGGCCUCUCUCAGUCAUUAACCUCACCAUAAGACUCUCAGUCUAUCUCAGUCAACAAUCUCACAAUCAGACCCUCGGUCUAUCUCAGUCAUCAUCUUACGAUCACUCGGACCAUCAGUAUAACAGGGAACUCAGCCCAAAACAGUUUCCACAUUUUUAAGAAUAUAGUGAUAAAGCCAGAUUUGAGCAAUAAACAGGUAAAACAUGACUGAACAUAUGCUUUCAAACAAAUAGAGUAAGGAAAGAUAGUAAAAAUACCCCUAAGGGUUUCAACAAGUCGGCACAAGGCCCCAAACAUGGCAUACAACCCAAAGUAUAAUAACAUCAAAAAGUUAACUAUCAAAUACGCAUUAAAAUAGUGGUUCAGGAUGGACUAGGUUACAAUCCCCAGUGGUGCUCUAGCCCACGCUCGUCAUGCAGUGUGUAAGUCACCUCAAAGUAGCACAACGAUGUAUAAUCUGGGGUUUCAAACCCUUAGAACAACAUUUACAAUCAUUACUUACCUCGAACCGGCGAAAUCUCUAGCUCGCGAUGCCUUUGCCCCUCUAAUCGGCCUCCACGCGCGUCGAAUCUAUCCAAAAUCAGAACGAAUACAUCACAAUAUGCUAAGGGAGCAAAGCCCAAGCGAAAAUAAUCAAUAACGGGCACAAAUCCCGAAAUUACCAAACCUGAGCGCCGGGCCCACUUCUCGAAACUCAAAAUUUUUAUAUCAACAGGUUCCUUAUCCUUCCACGAGUUCAUACAUAUCAAAAGUUCUCAAAUCCGACCUCAAAUGGUCCAUCAAAUCCCAAUUUAACAGUUUCAAAAUCCCAAGCCCUAGGUCAUCCAUUUUUAGCCUAAUUCCAUGAAUUUCUAGGUAAAUUUCACAAUAGAAUCACGUUUUAGGUUCAAAAAUCUUACCUUCAAUCAAUUCUCCAUGAAUCCCUCUUCAAUUUCCCUCAAAGAGAUCUCAAAAUACUCAGCUAUGGAGGAAUAAUGGCUCAAAAUCGCGGAUGAAAUGUUUUAUAAACUUUCUGCCCAGCUCUGAACUUCCUUCAUCGCGAUCGCGGCCCAAGCCUCGCGAUCGCGAAGAGCAAAAAUUCCAAGACUCCCAAAUGCACUAUGCGAACGCGAUACCUAUUAUGUGAACGCGAUGCCUUACUUUCCAGACAUACGUGAAUGCCAACCAGAUGAUGCGAAAGCAAAGAACAAAUCCACUGGACCCCCAAAGACAUAUACGCGAACACGAAGAACAAGGUCAAGGCCCUCCACGAACGCAAGACCUCAAACGCGAACGCGAAGGCCGAACUCAGGCCAACUCACAUUCCUUCUACGCGAUUGCGAUGGAUCUCACGCAAUCGCGACGGCUAAAAUCAUCUGCAACGACUAUUGAAAUUUCUGCAACUUCUCAACAUAGCAAAUGGUCCGAUUGACCACCCGAAACUCACCCGAGGCCCCCGGGACCCCAACCAAAAGUACCAACACAUCCUGAAACCUCAUUCAAACUUGUUCCAAUCAUCAAAACACCUCAAACAACACCAAAUCCAUCAAUUCACAUCAAAUUCAAGCCUAAGUUUUCUAAAGACUUCUGAAAUACGCUUUCGAUCAAAAACCCAACCAAACCACGUCCGAAUGACUUGAAAUUUUGCACACACAUCACAAAUGACAUAACAAACCUACAACAACUCUCAGAAUUCCAUUCCAACCCUCGGAUCGAAAUCUCACCUAUCAACCGAAAUUCGCCAAAAUACUAAUUUCGCCAAUUCAAGCCUAAUACACCGGACCUCCAAAAUCAAUUACGAUCAUGCUCGUAAGUCAUAAAUCACCCAACAAAGCUAACUAAAUCAUAAAAAUUUCGAUCCGAGCUCAUAUAUAAAUAAGUUAACUCUUGGUCAAACCUUUCAAUUGAGACUGUUCUUUCAAAUUCAUACUGAUUUUCGUGAAAACUAAUAUCAACGAUUUACAUCAGUCAUAACACAACAUACGGGGCAAGUCAUGCCCGAGAACUGGCGAUCAAAGUGCAAAAGCUCAAAACGACCGGUCAGGUCGUUACAUCCUCCCCCACUUAAACACACAUUCGUCCUCGAACAUAUCCAGAGCUGUUCUAAAAGCCAACCCGUGGCUGAAAAUCUUUACCAUUCAUAUACUCGGGGGUUAUCCCAUGUCACCCUAUCUCAUAUAGGUCUGAUAACAUAUUGCAACUGAAAUUACACAAUUCAGUCUGGCCCCUAAGCCAUAGAACCACAUUUCCACUUCUGAAACCAUCAAUAUGAUUAAAACCUCAAACCUAUACUCUGAAUAGACCCGAACCAGUUGUAAUAACCCAUGCCUGCAACCUCGGGAGCAAUCCCAUGAUAUACCACAUAACUCAAACACUCGUAGUGAUAACUUCUAUUCACAGCAGCUGCACACAACAACCGAAUAUCGGUAGCAAACCUCUUAUUAACUAAAGUCUCAUUCCAACACUUCCAUAUACUGCCAAUGAUAACUAAACCACACAGUAAGCCAUAACCAUUCGUUAGAUCAACCAUUCAUGAAGCCACUUCUCCUUUGGCAAAAACCAUGGCAAUUUCUGAGCCGAAUCUCGAUAUUAUCCUUCCAACAUGCUGAAAUUGAAUUCGUUCGUAUUCAUUAAUGAUACCAACGAUCUCCCUAGAUUACCAAUAAGCUCUAUAACAACCGAAUCAACACAUCCCUCGCCUACAGCAACUCGAAGUCAUAAAGCCGUCUCGAUGCUGGACACAAAUCCACAUAGGUCUACCAAUGAACCACACAUCAACUCUAGUUACCCACAACAGAUAAAUAAUCCUUCGAAGGUUCACAAUGACUGAAUCAUAGCACACACUAACAUCUGACUAACUACCCACAUUUUCCAUCCACAACCACGAGCUAACCUGUGUAUGAGAACUUCCAGUCUCCAAAUCCAUAAAACACACGAAGUACCAUAUCUGAUCCCAAUUUCGCCACUCGCAUAUAUAACUCACCUCUAGUACUCAAUCAUUCCACGAGAGAUACUCUAAGAUUCCUCUGUGCUGCCAAGCAAACUCGAAUAUCAGCAGCCGAUCUGACAAGAAGUGCUGCAAUACUACCGGAUUACCAUCAACUUAAUCAUAUUACCUCCCUCUGAAUCAUAUACCCUCGUCCAAUUACCUCAUUUAGCAUUACCUUUUCCUUAAUCACCUAAAGAUCAUUUCUCAAAUCAUCUGAAGCUCAUUUCUUCAAUUUAUCUGAACUACCCGUGCUGCCUAGGAAUUUAUGACCUUCCUUUAAAAUCUGAACCGUGACCUUACACAUACCAAUCUCACUCCUACACAACAUAUCGUAUAAACUGUACCAUUCUAGGAUAACCACAAGAACCUUGUAUCUCUUCCGAGCUACAAGCAACUAUGUACUCAACCAACCAAGAACUUACCAUUGUUCCCAUCUAGAAGAAAAUCACUAUACAUAUCAUGCUCCUCAUGCCCAUAGAAAAUUUCAAACCGAGGUCGAAACUAUCAAGAACUCUCCGAGUUCCCCUUGCACAACUAGACCUGCCAGGACUGAAUACUUCUAAGUCAACCGAGCUACGCAGAUCACUAAAACCCAAGAGAAUUGCCGAGAAACACUUGUAGAAACUCGUUACCUCGCAAGCAUCCAAAGAACUAAUUGUAUCCUUACUAUACCAACUCGGCCUAAUACCAAGCUAUCCUAUCUAUCCGAAUUUUCCUUCUGAUGUACCUUCAACUUGGUACUCAUUCUUGCUAUAACAUCAUAAUUCCUCAACCCAUACAUACCACACGGGGCCCAAGCAUAAAGCCACACCGUCUAAGGCUCAUAAGACGCUGAAUACUUCCUUAGAUAUUCCUACGAGCACCAUGAUCAAGGUACUUUGCUCUGAAGUGACUUCCUGCGAAUCUAAAUCUGUUACCUUUACCUUCCUAGUACUAAUACAUAGAAUCUCAUAAUUUAUAAAGAAAAUACCACAAGUCUCGACAUUUUCCAAUGAAAACUCAGUUUCUAACCACAUAUACAACUUUAAAAUACCCAAUUAUUAUAUGUAAAAUCUUGAACACAUUAGAACCAUUCUCGAGAGUCAUUCACUCUAUUCAAACUGCAAUUAGCAUGAUCAAAUAAACAGAACCACCUGUGCCUCAAUAGCACUCCGACACCGCAGGGCGUAACCUCGUCCGAGAACAACCAAACCACUUCCUGCUCUAUGCACCGAGCAUCCAUUAUUACAACAGCUCAAGGCACUCUAAGAUUCCCAUGCACCUAUGAAGCAUGACAUAACCUCUGUCAAAAUUUUUCCUUUACUCGAGACAUCCUCGGUCUCAGUCUCCGUAAGCCAUAGUUGAUUCACCAGUGCGCCUCAACUGGAACCAACAUAGCACAUAACCGUGCAAUCAACAAAUCAAUAGCAAACUCCCCCACUUGGCUCGAAGCCAUAGAUCAAAACACACUCAAUAUCUCGUAACACAUAUGUUCUAUUGAUGCCAUAAUACCAUAGUGAGAUUAAACUCAAAUCCUUUGUAAGCUUGCAAAAACACAGAUCAUCUAAUACUUUAACUCUUCUGCCAAUCUCGCAUUUACUCUCAUAACAAUUAAACCCACUCUCUUAAGCGAUCCAAAUUAAAAUCACACAUAUGUUUCACUUGUAAAUAAGAUCUUCUAACAGACAGCAUAAUGAUCGCACAACUUUCAAACAGUUCGCAGGUGAUAACCCACCUGAUUUGAGUCAAACUAACAUUCCCAUAUACCUUCCAUCGUCACAAACCGUAUGCAGUUACUUAGUCUUCUUAAGUCUGAACUCAUACCGCAACAUGAAAUUUUACUUCACUCUCAACUGGGAAACAUUGAAAGAUUCUUCAUAUGCCCAUAACUCGGGGCUACACCUCGAACCAAGAUGGAAUUAAAACACCUAAUAGUUCUUCUAUCCUGCAGCAGACCUUCCUCGUCACUUCCAAGUCAUAUAGAUAUAUCUCGCAGUACUAACAUACUCAUCACAUAGUUAUCCAACCGUCACUCCCACUAAUAGGGACGAUACCGAACAUAUAACUUCAAAGCACUUGCUCACAUAAUCAGUACCUCUGUGCUCAAGCCAUAGGCAAAUAUCUGGCCUCAAGUCCUCCAGACUAGACCAAUAUCAAACUCACAAAGAUCACAUCUUGCCCCUCGAUCAGGGAAUCAUAAGCCAUCAAGGCACAUCUGAUACUGAGCGCUCAUGCGCGCAUAAGAACACGUGGAAAGAAUUCAAAGAGUUACUUUUCAAGCUGAACCAAGGACGCAUGAUAAGAAUUCCAAGAACGUGAAGUUUUUCCUAAAGGUUCUGCAGCCUCUCGAAGAUAAAUACAAACGUCUCCGUACCAAUCCACGAGACUCUACUAAACCUGCUCAUGACUCGCGAAACCUAUGUAACCUAGGCUAUGAUACCAACUUGUCACGACCCUAAACCGGCCCGGUCGUGAUGGCACCUCUCGUGAAGACAAGGCCAACUGACACAACACUCACAUUAACCCUUUAAUCAUUAAGAGUCAUCUUUUAAACCUUUAAUUAGAACAAUGUUUCAUAAUAUACGUCUGAAAGAAUAGUACAAAAUUAAUAUACAAGUCCGACAUCAGGGUGUCACUAGUCAUGAGCAUCUACCAAGUUCUGAAUACAACAAAAAUAGUCAAACGUGUACCUAAGUACAGUAAUGAAAAUAAGAGGAAGAAAGCAGUGUUGCAAACGUCAUGCAACCACCUUGCUAACUUCAUUGACUCCGUGUCUAAGCAAUCAACACCUGCUACCGGGUUCCGAAAUACCUGAAUCUGCACACGAGGUGCAGGGAGUAAUGUGAGUACUCCAACCCAAUAAGUAAUAAAAGUAAAUAAAGACUGAACAUUAUGAAAUAAUGAAUCUAUAUUUGUGAUAAACUCAAUAAGCACAACAGGCUUCCAAAUCAAAAUACUAGUCGAUCGUCUCAUUUAAAAUCCAUCCUUUUGGUAAAAAUCAUUUGAAAAUGCUUUCCGACAGUUUCAGUAGGGGUUCAAUACCAUUUAUAAUUAAAGAGAUGAAAACCACAAUCGGCCUCUCGGGCAAAACAUAGUUCGUAAAACAGCCCCUCGAGCAAAAUAGUAAUCAUAAACACCUCAAAAUUUGAAAAUUUCAGUAGAAAUAACCGAUGUCAAAUCAGUGAUCAAAUUCUGAACAUCUCAUAAACCCCAGCUUAAAUGAAAGUUGUUUCUAAAACAUUUGUUCAACACUUCGACAGAGGCUCAAUAUAAAGAUGAGUGAAAACAGUCAACAAAUAAAUGUAUUCGAUAGAAACUCAUUCUUAAGAGGAGUGAAAAAUCAAUAAGUUCAUAAACAGGCCCUUCAAGCAAGUAUCACUCAUGUUCAUGUAUAUAUCUAUCGCCCCCUCAGGCUAGCCUCUCAGUUACUCAUGACUCAACUCUUACCAAUCAGCGCUCACACUCAGCUCUCACGCUCAAUAGGUACCAUAUAGUAACCGUUGCGGUGUACAGCCCGAUCCAUAUAUCUCGUCGACGGCGCUCACUGGGUGUGUGCAGACUCCGGAGGGGCUCCUAUAGCCCAAGCGCUACACCGCUGUGGCAUGCAGCCCGAUCCAACAUAUCACUGCGGCGUGCAGCCCGAUCCAUAUAAGUAUCGCUGCAGCGCGCAGCCCGAUCCAUAUACAUAUAUAAAUAUUGAUGCGGCGUGCAACCCGACCCAUAGAUAUUUAAUCCUCACAACUAGGCCCUUGGCCUCUCUUAGUCAUUAACCUCACCAUCAGACUCUCAGUCUAUUCAGUCAUCAAUCUCACAAUCAGACCCUCGGUCUAUCUCAGUCAUCAUCUUACAAUCACUCGGACCAUCAGUAUAAUAGGGAACUCAGCCCAAAACAGUUUCCACAUUUUUAAGAAUAUAGUGGUAAAGCCAGAUUUGAGCAGUAAACAGGUAAAACAUGACUGAACAUAUGCUUUCAAACAAAUAGAGUGAGUAAAGAUAGUAAAAAUACCCCUAAGGGUUUCAACAAGUCGGCACAAGGCCCUAAACAUGGCAUACAAUACAAAGUAUAAUAGCAUCAAACAGUUAACUAUCAAAUACGCAUUAAAAUAGUCGUUCGGGAUGGACUAGGUCACAAUCCCCAGCGGUGCUCUACCCCACGCUCGUCAUCUAGCGUGUAAGUCACCUCAAAGUAGCACAACGAUGUGUAAUCUGGGGUUUCAAACCCUCAGAACAGAUUUACAAUCAAUACUCACCUCGAACCGGCAAAAUCUCUAGCUCGCAAUGUCUUUGCCCCUCAAAUCGGCCUCCACGCGCGUCGAAUCUAUCCAAAAGUAAGAACAAAUACAUCACAAUAUGCUAAGGGAACAAAGCCCAAGCGAAAACAAUCAAUAAUAGGCACAAAUCCCGAAAUUACCAAACCCGAGCCCCGGGCCCAUUUCUCGAAACUCAGAAAUUUUUACAUCAACGGGUUCCUUAUCUUUCCAUGAGUUCAUACAUAUCAAAAGUUCUCAAAUCCGACCUCAAAUAGUCCUUCAAAUCCCAAUUUAAAAGUUUCAAAAUCCCAUGCCUUAGUUCUUCCAUUUUUAGCCUAAUUCCAUGAAUUUCUAGGUAAAUUUCACAAUAGAAUUAUGUUUUAGGUUCAAAAAUCUUACCUCCAAUCAAUUCUCCAUGAAUCCCUCUUCAAUUUUCCCUCAAAGAGCUCUCAAAAUACUCAGCUAUAGAGGAAUAAUGGAUCAAAAUCGCGGAUGAAAUGUAUUAUAAACUUUCUGCCCAGCUCUGAACUUCCUUCAUCGCGAUCGUGGCCGAAGCCUCGCGAUCGCGAAGAGCGAAAAUUCCAAGACUCCAAAUGCACUAUGCGAACGCGAUACCUACUAUGCGAACGCGAUGCCUUACUUUCCAGACCUACGGGAAUGCGAACCGGAUGAUGCGAACGCGAAGAACAAAUCCACUGGACCCCCAAAGACUUAUACGCGAACGCGAACCACUACAUGCAAACGCGAAGCACAAGGUCAAGGCCCUCCGCGAACGCGAGAUCUCAAACGCGAACGCGAAGGCCGAACUCAGGCCAACCUACAUUCCUUGUACGCGAUCGCGAUGGACCUCACGCGCGAAGGCUAAAAUCAUCUGCAACAGCUGUUGAAAUUUCUGCAACUUCUCAACAUAGCAAAUGGUCCGAUUGACCACCCGAAACUCACUCGAGGCCCCCGGGACCCCAACCAAAAGUACCAACACAUCCUAAAACCUCAUUCAAAUUUGUUCAAAAACCUCUAUUGGCAUCGCCUCAAUUUGCAUGCGCAGUCCGGGAGCGUAGGCGGAAAGCCUAAAUGUGAAAAUCUGUGAAAAAUGAUAACUUUUGACUAUAAAAUGAAUUAAUUUGACUUCGAUCGACGUUUUGGGUAAACGGACCCGGACCCAAAAUUUGACGGCUCGGAGGGUCCGUAGUAAAAUAUGGGACUUGGGCGUAUGCCUGGAAUCGAAUUUCGAGGUCCCAAGUCCGAGAAAUGAAUUUUCAAAGAAAAUAUCAAAACACCUCAAACAAUACCAAAUCCAUCAAUUCACAUAGAAUUCAAGCCUAAGUUUUCUAAAGACUUCCGAAAUACGCUUUCGAUCAAAAACCCAACCAAACAACGUCCGAAUGGCCUGAAAUUUUGCACGCACAUCACAAAUGACAUAACGAAGCUAUAACAACUCUCAGAAUUCCAUUCCGACCCUCGGUUCAAAAUCUCACUUAUCAACCAGAAUUCGCCAAAAUACUAAUUUCGCCAAUUCUAGCCUAAUUCUACACCGGACCUCCAAAACCAAUUCCGAU
This 30229-nucleotide long non-coding RNA is filed under the name Nicotiana tabacum (common tobacco). Its description in RNAcentral is "long non-coding RNA (NTAB_LNC001772)". The record is from RNAcentral. Lineage: Eukaryota; Viridiplantae; Streptophyta; Magnoliopsida; Solanales; Solanaceae.